GGGGAUAUAGCUCAGCGAGUAGAGCGUGUGUCUUAUAAACACGAGAUCAUGAAUUCGAAUCCCAUUGUCCCCA
This 73-nucleotide transfer RNA is filed under the name Candidatus Heimdallarchaeota archaeon. RNAcentral describes it as "tRNA-Ile". It matches the Rfam family "tRNA". From Rfam's summary of the family: Transfer RNA (tRNA) molecules are approximately 80 nucleotides in length. Their secondary structure includes four short double-helical elements and three loops (D, anti-codon, and T loops). Further hydrogen bonds mediate the characteristic L-shaped molecular structure. tRNAs have two regions of fundamental functional importance: the anti-codon, which is responsible for specific mRNA codon recognition, and the 3' end, to which the tRNAs corresponding amino acid is attached (by aminoacyl-tRNA synthetases). tRNAs cope with the degeneracy of the genetic code in two manners: having more than one tRNA (with a specific anti-codon) for a particular amino acid; and 'wobble' base-pairing, i.e. permitting non-standard base-pairing at the 3rd anti-codon position. The record is from RNAcentral. Lineage: Archaea; Promethearchaeati; Candidatus Heimdallarchaeota.